CAGCAUUCACGCAGUCUGUCAGGAUGAAGAUGAAGAUGAGAGAGAGGAACUGUGAGGCAGAUAAAAAAAUAUAUAAAAAUCUAAAUGCAGUUACAAAAAAACUGAAGUCAGAACACGAUAAUGUAUCAAGACUCAGUGACAGCGGGAACAUAUAAAACAUCAUUCAUUGAAAUUAUUCACUCAAGGAUCAAAAAUACGAAAAUUUGACGAAAAAAAGCUGGACUCUCGCAUUCAUUUGCAGCUUCGUCUGUAUAUUUGCAGUGCUGAUAAACAAAGUGUGUCUGCAGGUCACAGUAGAGGCUGUUUUCGGUGGUUCUGUUGUCCUGCCGUGUUCUUCAGCUGAACAUGAUCUUAAACGUCUAGACACUGAAGUGCACUGGAGACACAAUGGCAGCAAGAUUGUGUUUGAUAUAAUCAAGGGUGAAGUUUCACUAGAGAAUCAGGGCCAAUGGUACAAGAACAGAGCUGAAACUUUCCCUGAAGAGUAUGUGAGAGGAAACUUCUCCAUCAAGCUCUCUGGUCUCACUCACGCUGAUGCUGGACAGUACAUCUGCCUCAUCACCCCCUCAGAUGAACAGGAGACAGUAGAGCUGAUCAUCAACGACUUGUUUGUUGCAGAAACAACAACAGAAAAAGGAAACAAAACCACUGAUCAAGAAAAUCAAGAAACCAGACCAGACCGUGUCGAGAAAUCGUGGCUUUGGAUCCUGGUUGUCAUUCUUUUAACCAUAAUACUGGGUUUACUUUUCUUUCUAAUUAUCUUUAGAAAAAAGAUCCCAAGCUGCCUUAUGUCAGGUGAACAUGGCCUGGGUUCAGACGCUCAUGAGGUUGUGAGCCCUGUCCCAUGUUAUGAAUAAGUAACUGCUGAUGAUCGUGCUGAAGUAGCAGAUGUGCAGCUUGGCGCACUGACAGCAAUUACAUGAGCUUUCGCGCUAAACAAGAAGAAAAAAGGAAACGGGAACAUUUUUAGCUGAGGUUAAAAGAAAAUGAGGCUGUCAAUAUGAUGCUGCCUUAACAGUUCUGUACUGCAAGUGUUAUAUAUGUAUAUAUGUGACCCUGGACGACAAAACCAGUCAUAAGUGUCAAUUUUUCAAAAUUGAGAUUUAUACAUCAUCUGAAAGCUGAAUAAAUAAUCUUGCCAUUGAUGUAUGGUUUGUUGGGAUCGGACAAUAUUUAGCAGAGAUACAACUAUUUGGAAAUCUGGAAUCUGAGGGUGCAAAAAAAAUCUAAAUAUUGAGAAAAUCACCUUUAAAGUUGUCCAAAUUAAGUUCUUAGCAAUGCAUAUUACUAAUCAAAAAUGAAGUUUUGAUAUAUUUAUGGUAAUAAAUUUACAAAAUAUCUUCAUGGAUCAUGAUCUUUACUUAAUAUCCUAAUGAUUUUUGGCAUAAAAGAAAAAUUUAUCAUUUUGAAACAUACAAUGUUGUUUUGGCUAUUGCUACAAAUAUACCCCAGCGACUUAAGACUGGUUUUGUGCUCCAGGGUCACAUAUAUGUUAAUAUGUAGUGUGACAUAUUCAUACUGAAAAUGUAUUAUUUUGUUCAAAUCUGCUUCAGUAUUCUCAAGUAUUUACAGAGUAUUGUGUUUCAUUGUAUACUGAUUGUAUACUUUAAGACCCAAUAAAAUGUUUAAAUGUA
Onychostoma macrolepis is the source of this 1634-nucleotide long non-coding RNA. RefSeq lists it as uncharacterized. The transcript has 5 exons. The record is from RefSeq and is a predicted model, not a curated record. NCBI's taxonomy places the organism in Eukaryota, Metazoa, Chordata, Actinopteri, Cypriniformes, Cyprinidae.